AGUGAACGUUGGCGGCGUGGAUUAGGCAUGCAAGUCGAACGCAGUGGGGGCAACUCCACUGAGUGGCGAAAGGGUGAGUAAUGCAUAAUCAAUCUGCCCCUGAGACUGGAAUAGCUACUGGAAACGGUAGGUAAUGCCAGAUGGUCCCGCUAGGUGGCAUCACCCGGCGGGUAAACGGUAGGGAUCUUCGGACCUUCUGCUCGGGGAGGAGAUUAUGUCCUAUUAGCUAGUUGGUGAGGUAACGGCUCACCAAGGCUGUGAUGGGUAGCUGGCCUGAGAGGGUGGUCAGCCACAUUGGGACUGAGACACUGCCCAAACUCUUACGGGAGGCUGCAGUCGAGAAUCUUCCGCAAUGGGCGAAAGCCUGACGGAGCGACGCCGCGUGGAGGAUCGAAGGCCUUCGGGUUGUAAACUCCUUUCGAGCGGGGACGAAUAGCCUGGCGUGAACAGCGUCGGGUGUGACUUAACCCGCAGAAGAAGCUCCGGCUAACCCUGUG
This 497-nucleotide ribosomal RNA is filed under the name uncultured organism. RNAcentral's name for it is "bacterial SSU rRNA". It matches the Rfam family "Bacterial small subunit ribosomal RNA", at positions 29 to 507 of the family's 1533-position model. The record is from RNAcentral.